This 71-nucleotide transfer RNA is filed under the name Loxodonta africana (African savanna elephant). It matches the Rfam family "tRNA". Rfam says of the family: Transfer RNA (tRNA) molecules are approximately 80 nucleotides in length. The record is from Rfam by way of RNAcentral. Lineage: Eukaryota; Metazoa; Chordata; Mammalia; Proboscidea; Elephantidae.
GCAUUGGUGGUUCAGUGGUAGAAUUCUUGCCUUCACUGCAGGGGACCCAGGUUGAAUUCUUGGCCAGCGCA